This is a long non-coding RNA of Dreissena polymorpha, 438 nucleotides long. RefSeq lists it as uncharacterized. The transcript is spliced from 3 exons. Lineage: Eukaryota; Metazoa; Mollusca; Bivalvia; Myida; Dreissenidae. The record is from RefSeq and is a predicted model, not a curated record.
UCUAUUCUGAGUACAUAAGGAUGAGUACUGUGUAUUUAUUUUCGGCAUAAAAUUUACUUUAUUACCCAGUGUAAAUAGCGUUAGAAUAAAUGUUCAGUUGUAAACAUGAAUCUGAAAACUAUCUCUCAAUUUCAGAGUGAACUACAUUGGCUUGUGUAGCCGCAAGAUAUACAAAGCUAUCAAGAAAUGGACGGACAUUAUUCAUUAAGGCGCACAGCAACAAGCAUGUGUGAAUAAUGAGAGCUCAUCCAUCACAUCAGUUGAACAUGAAUUGAAAAGCCAGUGAAGACAAAAAAGAUGUAAGUUCCAUAAAAAAUAUAGAUUAACUAAUUAAGUUGCUUGAUCAUGAAUUUGUAAUAUUGUAUAAAAAUAGAUUUUAUGCAAAUAAUUUUUAUUUUAACAAAAAUUUCACAACAUAUUAGAAAUAAUGACCUCAGA